Hordeum vulgare subsp. vulgare (domesticated barley) is the source of this 366-nucleotide long non-coding RNA. RefSeq lists it as uncharacterized. The transcript has 3 exons. The record is from RefSeq and is a predicted model, not a curated record. Lineage: Eukaryota; Viridiplantae; Streptophyta; Magnoliopsida; Poales; Poaceae.
UUCAUUCCCUCUCCCUCACUCGUCUCUCCCCCGCAUCUCCACUCCAACCGCAUCGAUCGCACCACGCACCCCUCCCUCCCUCCCAUCUCCCCUCCCUGCACCCAGCGCCUGUGACCGCGCGCGGCAACGAGGUGGGCACGGCAGCGACCGUUGGAGGGAUCCUCUCCUACGCCUCUCUCUCUCUCUUUCACGAGUCACCAACAAAGGAGCGGCGGCGGCGGGCCGGCGGCCGGCGGCGCGCGUCGAGCACGAAGGAGGCCAGGACCAAGCGGCAGGCCGGCGACCAGCGCCACCUCUGUCUUCUUCGCUGCCGAUUCCUCCCCAGAGAUGUUGUCGUAUGUCGUGUACAAGGGUGAGGUUCCCGGA